AAGUCCCUUUACCAUUGUACCUCAAUGUACAUACUUAUAUCGAUAAAUUUAUCGUCGCUAAUUAUUUUAUCGUUUUUCAUUUGUGCUUCUUGAAUUUGUAGGUUGAAGAAUGUGAGGGAAAAAAGCAAGCAAGGUAGCACAAGUGUGCAGCAGAUAAGCAGAUAGAUAAAUGCAAUGAUGCAGACAUAUGAAGAUCAAAUUGGUCUGAAUAUAUAAUGUUAUGUGGUCUGAAUAAGCCCAGUGAGAUAUGAUAACAUAUUUUCUGCCAAAGGUGGGAAAAAGUUUGUUUGGAGUACUCCCACAAUGUGAAAGA
This 313-nucleotide long non-coding RNA is filed under the name Erythranthe guttata (spotted monkey flower). RNAcentral's name for it is "long non-coding RNA (EGUT_LNC000805)". The record is from RNAcentral. Lineage: Eukaryota; Viridiplantae; Streptophyta; Magnoliopsida; Lamiales; Phrymaceae.